GGCCACUGCUAUUGGGGUCCGACUAAGCCAUGCGAGUCUAUGGGCUUUUGCCCAUGGCGGACGGCUCAGUAACACGUGGCUAACCUACCCUCGGGUGGGGGAUAACCUCGGGAAACUGAGGAUAAUCCCCCAUAGGGGAAGAGGUCUGGAAUGAUUCUUCCCCGAAAGCAUAUGCGCCCGAGGAUGGGGCUGCGGCCGAUUAGGUAGUUGGUGGGGUAACGGCCCACCAAGCCUACGAUCGGUACGGGCCCUGAGAGGGGGAGCCCGGAGAUGGGGACUGAGACACGGCCCCAGGCCCUACGGGGCGCAGCAGGCGCGAAACCUCCGCAAUGCGCGAAAGCGCGACGGGGGGACCCCAAGUGCCCAUGCACUGCAUGGGCUUUUCCGGAGUGUAAACAGCUCCGGGAAUAAGGGCUGGGCAAGUCCGGUGCCAGCAGCCGCGGUAAUACCGGCAGCCCAAGUGGUGGCCACUUUUAUUGGGCCUAAAGCGUCCGUAGCCGGCCCAGUAAGUCCCUGCUUAAAUCCUACGGCUUAACCGUAGGACUGGCAGGGAUACUGCUGGGCUUGGGACCGGGAGAGGGCAGGGGUACUCCGGGGGUAGCGGUGAAAUGUGUUGAUCCCCGGAGGACCACCUAUGGCGAAGGCACCUGCCUGGAACGGGUCCGACGGUGAGGGACGAAAGCCAGGGGAGCGAACCGGAUUAGAUACCCGGGUAGUCCUGGCCGUAAACGCUGCGGACUAGGUGUCGGGUAGGCCUUGUGCCUACCCGGUGCCGAAGGGAAGCCGUUAAGUCCGCCGCCUGGGGAGUACGGUCGCAAGACUGAAACUUAAAGGAAUUGGCGGGGGAGCACUACAACGGGUGGAGCCUGCGGUUUAAUUGGAUUCAACGCCGGGCAUCUUACCAGGGGCGACGGCAGGAUGAAGGCCAGGUUGACGACCUUGCCAGACGCGCCGAGAGGUGGUGCAUGGCCGUCGUCAGCUCGUACCGUGAGGCGUCCUGUUAAGUCAGGUAACGAGCGAGACCCGCGCCCCAUGUUGCCAUCCUUCCCUCUGGGGGAGAGGCACUCAUGGGGGACCGCUGGCGCUAAGCCAGAGGAAGGAGCGGGCAACGACAGGUCCGCAUGCCCCGAAUCCCUGGGCUACACGCGGGCUACAAUGGCUGGGACAUGGG
This 1171-nucleotide ribosomal RNA is filed under the name Methanotorris formicicus Mc-S-70. Its description in RNAcentral is "16S ribosomal RNA". It matches the Rfam family "Archaeal small subunit ribosomal RNA", at positions 22 to 1201 of the family's 1478-position model. The record is from RNAcentral. Lineage: Archaea; Methanobacteriati; Methanobacteriota; Methanococci; Methanococcales; Methanocaldococcaceae.